UGGGGAUAUAGCUCAGUGGUAGAGCACUUGCCUGGCAUGCAUGAGGCCCUGGGUUCCAUCCCCAGCACUAA
This 71-nucleotide transfer RNA is filed under the name Marmota monax (woodchuck). Its description in RNAcentral is "tRNA.Ala". The stretch from base 9 to 65 matches the Rfam family "tRNA", at positions 8 to 63 of the family's 71-position model. From Rfam's summary of the family: Transfer RNA (tRNA) molecules are approximately 80 nucleotides in length. Their secondary structure includes four short double-helical elements and three loops (D, anti-codon, and T loops). The record is from RNAcentral. Lineage: Eukaryota; Metazoa; Chordata; Mammalia; Rodentia; Sciuridae.